RNAcentral lists this ribosomal RNA (253 nucleotides) under uncultured bacterium. RNAcentral's name for it is "partial 16S ribosomal RNA". It matches the Rfam family "Bacterial small subunit ribosomal RNA", at positions 524 to 776 of the family's 1533-position model. The record is from RNAcentral.
UACAGAGGGUGCAAGCGUUAAUCGGAAUUACUGGGCGUAAAGGGUGCGUAGGUGGUUAGAUAAGUUAGGUGUGAAAGUCCUGGGCUUAACCUGGGGAUUGCGCCUAAUACUGUUUAACUGGAGUACUGUAGAGGAAGGUGGAAUUUCCAGUGUAGCGGUGAAAUGCGUAGAUAUUGGAAGGAACAUCAGUGGCGAAGGCGACCUUCUGGACAGAUACUGACACUGAGGCACGAAAGCGUGGGGAGCAAACAGG